This 158-nucleotide unclassified non-coding RNA is filed under the name uncultured Ascomycota. RNAcentral's name for it is "sequence contains ITS2". Lineage: Eukaryota; Fungi; Ascomycota. The record is from RNAcentral.
ACAACCCUCAAGCUUCGGUUUGAUGUUAGGCGUGGCCCCUCCGGCCCGCCUUAACGUGGUGUCGGGUCUUCGGUUGCCAACGGAGCAAGUGAUAACUUUGUGUUUCUUGUCUUUCUGUCGGUUCGAACCGUGGGACCCGUGGAAAAAACUCCCCUGAC